This 462-nucleotide ribosomal RNA is filed under the name uncultured bacterium. RNAcentral describes it as "partial 16S ribosomal RNA". The record is from RNAcentral.
GACUACUGGGGUAUCUAAUCCCGUUCGCUCCCCACGCUUUCGCGCCUUAGCGUCAGUUCUAGGCCAGAGAGCCGCCUUCGCCACUGGUGUUCUUCCCGAUAUCUACGCAUUUCACCGCUACACCGGGAAUUCCGCUCUCCUCUCCCGAACUCAAGAGAAUCAGUAUUAGGUGCAGUUCACAAGUUGAGCCUGUGGAUUUCACACCUAACUUAACUCCCCGCCUACACGCCCUUUACGCCCAAUAAUUCCGAACAACGCUCGCCUCAUACGUAUUACCGCGGCUGCUGGCACGUAGUUAGCCGAGGCUUUAGGCAGGUACCGUCAUCACAACGAAUAUUACCCGUUGCUUAUUCGUUCCUGCUUACUGGACUUUACAAUCCGAAGACCUUCAUCGUCCACGCGGCGUCGCUGCGUCAGGCUUUCGCCCAUUGCGCAAGAUUCCUCACUGCAGCCCCCCGUAGG